CUAAAUAUAUAUAGAUACGCCACUCCCCUGUUGGGGCUGGCGACACUACCGCCACGCCAAAAUUACACCUGGUGGCAAUUCACAGUUACUAACAUACCCUUUGGGAACGCUUGAAAAAAAACCUCUUCAGUUUUAGUUCAAUGCUCAGUGGAUAUAUCCAAGCAACUCUCGAGUAGCUUCUGCUGUUUUCAUGAAAUGUCAAAACUCUCCUGACUUUGCAAAUUUUUGAUCGUGUUAGAAAAAAAUCUCGUCCGCUAAUUAAUGAGACAACGCUGAAACAGGUUCGCGGCGACAACAAAUGGAUGCUGCUGUGCUGUGUUAAAUUAGGCAGCCUCGUGAUGUCCCGGAAAACGAUGACCAUGGUGAUGGUGAAAAACGGAACUUCGGUGAAUUCGGAAGCGGCAAACCGGAUGCUUCCAGCUUUGCCAGAACAAACACGAGCCAGCCAGCGUUCUCGACAACGAAAAUGCUGACCUCCGUCGUGGAAGAUUCUCCUGCGAUUCUCCUUGAAAUCACGUUUUAAAACAGUGUAUAAAGCCAUGCGAUGUCUGUGCCAGCAUUACAGCAAAAUGAAGAAUUAUGUAUGUUUUAUCAUUUAAACUUGAGGAAAUAAAAAAAAUACACACUUUAUUAUUAUUAUUGUAGUGCA
Culex pipiens pallens (northern house mosquito) is the source of this 649-nucleotide long non-coding RNA. RefSeq lists it as uncharacterized. The record is from RefSeq and is a predicted model, not a curated record. Lineage: Eukaryota; Metazoa; Arthropoda; Insecta; Diptera; Culicidae. The transcript has 2 exons.